Molecule: long non-coding RNA, 1497 nt
Organism: Perca fluviatilis (European perch)
Lineage: Eukaryota; Metazoa; Chordata; Actinopteri; Perciformes; Percidae
Exons: 3
Source: RefSeq, a predicted model, not a curated record
CCCUGCUGAGCUCAGCGGUGCCCUGCAAUGUCAUGCUGCGUCCUGCAGAACCCUGCUGCUUCCAGCGAGAGAAGCAGCAGGUGAGAGGUGGUCGUGGGCCUCGUUUGAGAGGUAUGGGGCAACGUGGUGGAGGACAAGGCCACGGACCAAGACGGCGACAUCAGCAACAACAAAGAGUGUACAAUGCAAUCCGAGCAACAGUUGUAGACCAUGUCAUAAAUCAUGGAAUGACAAUGACUGAGGCGGCUACUAUGAUUCAACCAAACCUCAGAAGAUCAACCGUGGUCUCUAUAAUCAGAAUUUUCCGCAAAGAGAACCGAAUUGAGAUUAGGCCAAACAGGGGAGGCAGAGGCAAAAUUCUGACUGACCAACAAGAGCAGGCUGUGGUCGAUUUUGGUUCAGGCCAGAAAUGAUAUUCGCCUUACAGAAAUUCGCCAGCAUAUCUUGGACAAUGAAGACAUGUUUAACAAUGUGGAAUCCAUAAGUUUGCCGACUAUUGCACGCAUGUUGAAAAGGCAACAGGUGUCUUUUAAACAACUAUACCGUGUGUAUUUUGAAAGAAAUGCAGACAGAGUGAAGCAAAUGAGGACAGAGUAUGUUCAGAGGGUGAUGGAGUUGGAUGCUGAUGAAAACCAUCACAAAUUCAUAUAUUUGGAUGAGGCAGGCUUUAACCUGGCCAAGACAAGGAGGAGAGGUCGGAAUUUCAUUGGCCAGCGGGCAACCAUCCAAGUACUUGGACAACGUGGGGCCAACAUUACCAUGUGUGCGGCUAUAUCAGAAGAUGGUGUGGUGGGACGCAGACCUCGUAUUGGAUCAUAUAAUGCAGCUCUCCUUGUAACCUUCCUUGAUGAGCUCGAUCAGGUCUGUAGAGCUGAUGGCGUGACCUAUGUCAUUGUGUGGGAUAAUGUCAGGUUUCACCAUGCUCAUAUGGUGCAAGCAUGGUUUCAGGCCCAUGCACAAUUUACCACCCUUUAUUUACCCCCUACUCUCCUUUCCUUAACCCGAUUGAGGAAUUUUUCUCCAAAUGGAGAUGGAGGGUUUAUGAUAGGCGCCCUCAUGAACAAGUCACUCUUCUCCAGGCCAUGGAUGACUCAUGCAAUGACAUCACGGCAGACCAGUGUCAGGCCUGGAUUCGCCAUGCCCGAAGGUUUUUUCCAAGAUGUUUGGCUAAUGAAAACAUCCAUUGUGAUGUAGAUGAGAACCUGUGGCCAAAUCAACAAGACAGAGUUGAUGAAUAUGUAGAAGUACAGUAAUCACUCCUUUGUAUAGCUUUUUACAGUGCAAGUAAGUUGAGGAACACUGCAUUUGAUGUUUUACAGUGCUGUCUUUUCUGUUUCGUAGCCAAUUACUGUAUGUAUUUUGCUUUGAUUUACGUAAAUAAACCUAUGUUGUGAUUGAACUGUAUUGUUUUUCAUCAAUACGUUUCAGAUUGUGUUCAAUGAUUCCACUCACUGUAGUAUUCUCUCUACUACUGCAGUACUUUUACAGGGAUUUAUU